RNAcentral lists this ribosomal RNA (441 nucleotides) under uncultured bacterium. RNAcentral describes it as "partial 16S ribosomal RNA". It matches the Rfam family "Bacterial small subunit ribosomal RNA", at positions 338 to 795 of the family's 1533-position model. The record is from RNAcentral.
CCUACGGGAGGCAGCAGUGGGGGAUAUUGCACAUUGGGGGGAACCCUGAUGCAGCGACGCCGCGUGAGUGAAGGAGUUCUUCGGCAUUGAAAGCCCUAUCGGCAAGGAAGAAGCAAGACGGUACCUGACUAAGAAGCCCCGGCUAACUACGUGCCCGCAGCCUCAGUAAUACGUAGGGGGCGCGCGUUAUCCGGGUUCACUGGGGGUAAAGGGAGCGUAGACGGCCAUGCAAGCCAGGGGGGAACGCCCGGGGCCCAACCCCGGGACAGCCGUUGGAACUGCAUGGCUGGAGAGCGGGAGGGGCAGGCGGAAUGCCUGGUGUAGCGGUGAAAUGCGUAGAUAUCAGGAGGAACACCGGCGGCGAAGGCGGCAUGCUGGACCGCGACUGACGUUGAGGCUCGAAAGCGUGGGGAGCGAACAGGAUUAGAUACCCCAGUAGUC